Molecule: ribosomal RNA, 492 nt
Filed under: uncultured bacterium
Lineage: Bacteria
Description: partial 16S ribosomal RNA
Rfam family: Bacterial small subunit ribosomal RNA
Source: RNAcentral
AGUGAACGCUGGCGGUAGGCCUAACACAUGCAAGUCGAACGGCAGCACAGUAAGAGCUUGCUCUUACGGGUGGCGAGUGGCGGACGGGUGAGGAAUACAUCGGAAUCUACUUUUUCGUGGGGGAUAACGUAGGGAAACUUACGCUAAUACCGCAUACGACCUACGGGUGAAAGCAGGGGAUCUUCGGACCUUGCGCGAUUGAAUGAGCCGAUGUCGGAUUAGCUAGUUGGCGGGGUAAAGGCCCACCAAGGCGACGAUCCGUAGCUGGUCUGAGAGGCUGAUAAGCCACACUGGAACUGAGACACGGUCCAGACUCCUACGGGAGGCAGCAGUGGGGAAUAGUGGACAAUGGGCGCAAGCCUGAUCCAGCCAUACCGCGUGGGUGAAGAAGGCCUUCGGGUUGUAAAGCCCUUUUGUUGGGAAAGAAAAGCAGCAGGUUAAUACCCCGCUGUUCUGACGGUACCCAGAGAAUAAGCACCGGCUAACUUCGCG